RNAcentral lists this long non-coding RNA (2045 nucleotides) under Triticum aestivum (bread wheat). RNAcentral describes it as "long non-coding RNA (TAES_LNC017784)". The record is from RNAcentral. Lineage: Eukaryota; Viridiplantae; Streptophyta; Magnoliopsida; Poales; Poaceae.
CAGGUAACACGCUUCUUCAAUCAAUUACAACUAUCUUUUUACAAAUUAAGAAAGUUCGACUCAGAUACUAAAACUACAUAAAAACAUAUAAUCAUGUCUUCUUCUGAAUAAAAAUAUUGUAGUACACAACAGAUUCAGUUAUUGUGACCACUAUAAAUAUCUAUCUUCUAGUGCAAAUAUUUAUAUCCCCGGUUAUUGUGACGGCUAUCUAUAUUUAUCUUCUAGAACAGAUACUUAUAUCAAGAAGACAUACAUUUGCAAGUGUUUCUUGCUGCCAAAACCUACGUUUAGCUAAAAUAAGUAGACGUGGCAUAAAAUUUGAGAUGAGCAUAGCACAACAAGGCCAACUUGCCUCCAUGUCAGAGAAACAACAACUUGAUUGCUCCUACUUUCGUACGCAACAUCUGUGCUAGUACAUAACUAAGAGGACUACGAAAAAUGACGGGUGAUCACUCGGCGGCCGCCGAUGCACAUUUUUUACAUCGCUUCACUUCUUCGAAGAAUGAAUUUGCUGCCGUGUUCACCAUCUGAAGUUCAGUGCAUACAAUCAGAGGCAUGUUACCUCCAGAAAUCCCUAUCAAAAGACAGUGGUUUACUUCCCUGCAUUACAUUUGCCAAAAGAUACUAAGCAUAACAUUAACCCAUUUAGUUGUCUAGAUAACCAGAUUAAAUCAUAAGCAUUACAUGGUUCUUAUUUCAGUGAAAAGGAAUACCGUUGAAUAAUGAUUACCAAUGCAUGUCAGCAUGCAUAAUUCAGAAACCACACGUUUAAUCAUUUAGGGGGCAGAUACAUUUGUUUUCAGAGCCUGCAACUAUGAAAUGCUAGACAAGUUUAUUGUCCUACUAAAAAUAUGAGGAAAUUAUCAAUGUCAAAGUUGUUGUGUCUAGUGCCAAAAUUAACUACUAUAUCAGGUUAGGUCUGCUAGAAAUAAUAGUGGUAAGUAAGAAACGUGACAAAAAUUAAGCAUCGACUCAUAUGUAUACCUACAGAUCUAGCCAAAAGCUUUGACACGCAAGAACAACAAUAACAAUGAACCUGCUCGAGUCUCGGCAUAUACUUGACUUCCCGUGCAAAUCUAUUCGCUAUAUUACUUACCCAUAAAUCACUCUACAUCAUCUUCUUAUUUCUCUAACAACUAUAUCUGCAUGACCAAUCCAAGUUCACCACCUCUGUUAAUGACAUAUCCAACUCACAAUCCCCCCUUCCACCUCCACCAACACACUUAGAAUUUCAAACACUUACCGGUGCACUUGUCUUCCACAGCUCAUUAAUAUUUACACGGUGUAAUGCAACUUCUCGAACUUCAUCCCGGCUCAUUAACUCCACCACUCUAGCGCACACACAAAAUAUUGAUUAUGCUCUAUAGAACAAAGAACAAAAAUGACUUCACAUGCUAAAUAUUGAUUCUGACAAUGAUAUACUGUUUCGAAAAGCUGAUCAAUACUCGUAAGAUCUGUAGUAGGUACAGAUGUUGCAUAAGUUGAUGUACUUUCUGAAGCCGGGAUGACCAUGCUAGAAAAGCAAGUUGUUUGCAAAUCUAAUUGGAUGAAUAAACUGGAAGUACAAAUGUACUUAAAAUAAAGAAGUUUUGAUCAAGUUCAUUAAUAAAUAACAUGCACCAAACCACUUGUUAGAAUAAGGAUGCUAGAGAGAUUACUUGAAAUCCAUACAAGCAAGCAAUUAGAAUUUUGUGGUGCAGAAGAAUGACUUUGGGCUGUUAAAAAUAAAGAACAAUGAUUGUGUCUAUCUAUAUACGAUUUUCCUCUGCUCAAGCAAGCAAGCAAGAAUCAAACAACACAAUAUACAACAAUUUGAUUGCACACACGUUCAAACUGGAUGGAUACGUGCACAUUAGCAAACACCACCAAGUUGUGUCCAGACCAUUUGCAAUCAAAAGAUGAGAUGUGCAAGGAAGGGGGUGGAGCUCACCACACCAGGCCAGGGGGUAGGAGGAGGGAGUAGGCAGCCGCAGCAGCAAUGAGGGAGGGCUCGUCCUCGUCCACCUGAAGCAGUAGGAGCAGCAGCUGGUCCAGAUCCGAGCAAC